CUCAAUCCCAGAACAAGGGUUUUAAUCCUUUCAUAACUUGAAAUAAGAUUACAAAGUUAAUGUUGUUCAUACCAAAUAAAUUAAGGGUAGAAGAGUUUAUAGAAGAUGAAGCCUAAUGGAAAAUUCGUAGCCUCUAUAAACUGCUCAAACAUAAUGUGUAAUUCUUCUAAAAAAUGUUCUUGGGGGUAUUUAUAGAUAUAUGGUGAAUUACAACCAACCUUGAACAUUUAUUGAAUAAAAAGAGUUAGUUAAAAAGGGGCCACCUAUGCACCGCAGGGCUUAAUACGCACCACCAAAAAGUAAUGGAAGACCUGUCAUAUAGCCCUAAGGGGUGCGAUGCAGGGCCUUGUUGGCAGCCUUUGUUUUUCAUGAAAUGUCGUCUCUUGUAAUCCUUAGUCAUCUUGAGUCCCCGUAUGCCCCAUUCAUUGCUAUAUUACUACUAACACAUAGGUUAUCUCAUUUACAACAAAAAUCACUACUAGAAAUUGGACCUAUGGCAAUGGAUUUUUUGGUGACGGUUGUAAAUUCUUCGCAAUAGACUAUCUAUAGCAACGCUUCCAACCAUUGCCAAAGAUAAUAGUUAUACUAUUAUGAUUUAGCAUUAUGAUCGUGGCUACUGAAAAGGAACCGUUGCAAUAGGUAUAUGUAUGACAACUCUAUUGAAACUGUUGCAAUAAAAUCAUAUAUGGUGGCACAUAAUGGAAAUAUGGACGGUUGCAAUAGGUCUGUACAGGCAUUAUUUAUUAAUUUUCCUCCAUAAUAUUUCACACAAGUCCACCAAAAAAAUUUCACUCUAUCAAAACAUCUUUUUUAUUAGAACAAAAGGCCGAGCCAAAAACCCUUGUUGUUUUAAACAAACAAAAGCUCCAUUUCUCUAAAGCUCUCAUCAAUCCAAAAAAUUUCCAAACAAAAGUGAAAUUUUCUCCAACAACAAUCUCUUAGUCAAAUUUCGAUUAAGGUGAAAUUUCGAGCUCUUAGUGAAAUUUUGAUCCAUUUAGAGCUCUCAAUCUCAUAGUAAAAUUUUGAACAACAAUCUCAUAGUGUUGUUUACAGUUUUGAAGCUAACCCACUUGCUAUGUUGGAGUGUUCUUCUUCAAUUUAGGGAUAUUAAGGCUAGUGCAUUCCUCUAAUUGAGGAUUUUGACCUAAUUUUUUAUUCUUAUUUUGGGUUUUUCUCUCGACAUAAGUUGUUAGGGUUUAAUUUAGUACCUUUUCCUUCUAUUUUGGAUGUUUUUGUCUCAUGGGGUUUGUUCAUAUGUUGUUUUUAUGCUAUUUAGGUUGCUAAAUUUGUGACUCUUUUGUUCAUGAGAAUUCAAGAAAGUAGAAAAAUGCACAACACUGAGAAGAGAAUACUAAUUAGACUGUUUGUCCUAGUCUUUAGGAAAUUAGAGUAUGUUAGAAAAUACAAUGUCUAUCUGGUUAUGUCUGUUAUAGUUUUUAGGAAAUAAUAGGUUGUUAUCUAGUCUUUGGGCGUGUUUGAUGCACUCAGAUUUCAUAAUUUAAAGAGUCAUACAUAGGCGUGUUUCUGCCUAUGUACAGUAUUGAGUUCUCAAAUUUUCCUUUUCACAUUGCUGGUUUUUUUCUUUCAUGUGGUGUUAAAAUUACUUGUUAACUGAUAUAGUAGUUCACCUUUAGUAUAAUCCACGAGUUCCUCUGAACUAAAGAUGAAAUAUUUCCUUUUCUCUCACUCUCCAUCACAAGAAGUAACCAUUAUAUGUUACAGUAAUGAGAAAAAGCUCACUGCUUUGAUGUCUUGGUUAAAAUGCAAUCACGUUAUGACUAUUAAAGCUUUUCUUGUAUAAAUCUUGUUCAGAAAAUUCUAAUCAACCAGCUUUGUUUUUUCUUUUCUGGGGGGCAGUAGGGUGUCGCUAGAAUGUUCCUUUGUUAAUUCUUAAGUCAUAUGAAGUCCAUUUGCUGCUAAUGUUUAGACCUCAAAACUCUUUUCUCGAUAUAUAGAAAGGAAUAGCAAAUCAAAAUCAUGAAGGAUAAAAGUUUUAAAUAUAUGAACAUAGCAUAUCAUAUAAUAGUUUCGAAGUGAAGGAUUCUGCGGGAUGCUUUCUAUGCAAGAGUUGGUCAUCCUGUAGUUCAUGGAUUACUUCUUUUUUUGUCUGAAACUUCAGAUUUUUUGCAAAUCCAAUGGCAUUUUCCUGGAGGGCAAGGAUUAGAAGACGGAAUUGGUUUUACAAUGUAGAAAAAUAGAUUAGUUGCACAUGACCACUGACGUGAUUGAAAUAUGAACGACUAUUAAAAUUAAAAAGUUGUUGUUAACUCUUGCCUCUCUAUUUCAGUGGAUAAAGGGAUUACUUUACUUUAGAGUUCUUUUAAGCUUCAUGGAUACAUUGGGACACUAUUUGUCAUCCAAUGUACUGAAGAUAAGCACAAAACAUUUAUUUAAUUGCCACAGCGUGUGUGGUUGAUAUUAAAUUAGAUUCCUAAAAUAUGAUUAGGCAAACGAAAUUUAUAGGAUACAAGAAAAUUUCAGUACACCUAGUAUGAAGCAGCAUAGAAAAGAAUUAUUUCUUCUUCACAUAGAAAACCGAGAAUCCUUAAGGCAUUUAUUCUUCUGUCUCUGGAACUAGACUUUAUACAUCUCUGUUGGUCAAUAUAAAGUUUAUCUCUUUAAAGUAUCGAGUUUUGAAGAAUAUAAAAGUGGGUUAGCGCUGGGUUAAAAACAUCAUAUAUAAGAUAGGUGGUAGAUCUAUGCGAAAUAUGAUUGCACCAUAUAGAUGCUUCAGUCCCCAUGUUAUGUAAAUCCUAGAUAAUUUAACUAUUUGAACACUUACCUGUCGUAUAUUAGAGAAGCUAAUUGCUUAGAAGGGAAAAUUUUACUCCAAACCAUUGAUUGAUGACUUCUGGACUAGAAUGAACAAAACAUUAGCUAGUCCAUAUCUGAUUCUAUUUUCCAAAUAUGUUAAAGAAAGGAAGGAGAAGAAAAUUGAUUAGAGAUGUUCAGAGGGAGUAGAUUCUGGGUUUUGAUUUUGUACAUAGAAACUCUAUAAAAAAGUCAUGCUAGG
Molecule: long non-coding RNA, 3013 nt
Filed under: Capsicum annuum
Lineage: Eukaryota; Viridiplantae; Streptophyta; Magnoliopsida; Solanales; Solanaceae
Description: long non-coding RNA (CANN_LNC009705)
Source: RNAcentral